This 90-nucleotide ribosomal RNA is filed under the name uncultured bacterium. RNAcentral's name for it is "partial 16S ribosomal RNA". The record is from RNAcentral.
CCCGUCACACCAUGGGAGUCAUUUGCUCCAGAAGUGGCUGCGCCAACUCGCAAGAGAGGCAGGCCCCAAGGAGUGAAUGGUAACUGGGUG